CAGCCCAGAGCCUGAAUCAGUGUGUGUGUUAGUGGAAGCGUCUGGAAAGGCGCGCGAUACAGGGUGACAGCCCCGUACACAAAAAUGCACAUGCUGUGAGCUCGAUGAGUAGGGCGGGACACGUGGUAUCCUGUCUGAAUAUGGGGGGACCAUCCUCCAAGGCUAAAUACUCCUGACUGACCGAUAGUGAACCAGUACCGUGAGGGAAAGGCGAAAAGAACCCCGGCGAGGGGAGUGAAAAAGAACCUGAAACCGUGUACGUACAAGCAGUGGGAGCACGCUUAGGCGUGUGACUGCGUACCUUUUGUAUAAUGGGUCAGCGACUUAUAUUCUGUAGCAAGGUUAACCGAAUAGGGGAGCCGAAGGGAAACCGAGUCUUAACUGGGCGUUAAGUUGCAGGGUAUAGACCCGAAACCCGGUGAUCUAGCCAUGGGCAGGUUGAAGGUUGGGUAACACUAACUGGAGGACCGAACCGACUAAUGUUGAAAAAUUAGCGGAUGACUUGUGGCUGGGGGUGAAAGGCCAAUCAAACCGGGAGAUAGCUGGUUCUCCCCGAAAGCUAUUUAGGUAGCGCCUCGUGAAUUCAUCUCCGGGGGUAGAGCACUGUUUCGGCAAGGGGGUCAUCCCGACUUACCAACCCGAUGCAAACUGCGAAUACCGGAGAAUGUUAUCACGGGAGACACACGGCGGGUGCUAACGUCCGUCGUGAAGAGGGAAACAACCCAGACCGCCAGCUAAGGUCCCAAAGUCAUGGUUAAGUGGGAAACGAUGUGGGAAGGCCCAGACAGCCAGGAUGUUGGCUUAGAAGCAGCCAUCAUUUAAAGAAAGCGUAAUAGCUCACUGGUCGAGUCGGCCUGCGCGGAAGAUGUAACGGGGCUAAACCAUG
RNAcentral lists this ribosomal RNA (886 nucleotides) under Escherichia coli. Its description in RNAcentral is "partial 23S ribosomal RNA". It matches the Rfam family "Bacterial large subunit ribosomal RNA", at positions 293 to 1191 of the family's 2925-position model. The record is from RNAcentral. Lineage: Bacteria; Pseudomonadati; Pseudomonadota; Gammaproteobacteria; Enterobacterales; Enterobacteriaceae.